This 656-nucleotide ribosomal RNA is filed under the name uncultured Planctomycetota bacterium. RNAcentral's name for it is "bacterial SSU rRNA". It matches the Rfam family "Bacterial small subunit ribosomal RNA", at positions 46 to 676 of the family's 1533-position model. The record is from RNAcentral. Lineage: Bacteria; Pseudomonadati; Planctomycetota.
GGAUUAGGCAUGCAAGUCGAACGAGAAAGGGCCCUUCGGGGCCUGAGUAGAGUGGCGGAAGGGUGAGUAAUGCCUAGACAAUCUGCCCUUGUGCUGGGGAUAACAGCUGGAAACGGCUGCUAAUACCGAAUGUUGCCGCGGGGUCGCAUGGCCUUGCGGUGAAAGGUGGGGAUCCUUCGGGACCUGCCGCACGAGGAGGAGCCUAGGUCCUAUCAGCUAGUUGGUGAGGUAACGGCUCACCAAGGCUUUGACGGGUAGCCGACCUGAGAGGGUGACCGGCCACACUGGGACUGAGACACUGCCCAGACUCCUACGGGAGGCUGCAGUCGAGAAUCUUCGGCAAUGGGCGCAGGCCUGACCGAGCGACGCCGCGUGGAGGAUGAAGGCCUUCGGGUUGUAAACUCCUGUCACGGGUUAAGAAAUCCGGUGGUGCGAAUACCAUCAUCGGUUGACAAAGGCCCGAGAGGAAGUCAUGGCUAACUCUGUGCCAGCAGCCGCGGUAAUACAGAGAUGGCAAGCGUUGUUCGGAAUCACUGGGCAUAAAGGGCACGUAGGCGGCUUCGUAAGUCGGGUGUGAAAUCCCUCGGCUCAACCAAGGAAUUGCGCCCGAUACUGCGGGGCUUGAGUGCAGGAGGGGAGAGUGGAACUCUUGGUGG